RNAcentral lists this ribosomal RNA (285 nucleotides) under uncultured bacterium. Its description in RNAcentral is "partial 16S ribosomal RNA". It matches the Rfam family "Bacterial small subunit ribosomal RNA", at positions 29 to 304 of the family's 1533-position model. The record is from RNAcentral.
AGCGAACGCUGGCGGCGUGCUUAACACAUGCAAGUCGAGUGAAGGAAAUUCCUGUAGCAAUACAGGGGUUUUCAUUCACGGCGCACGGGUGCGUAACACGUGGGUGACCUGCCCUAAGAUGGGGAAUAACCCCGCGAAAGCGGGGCUAAUACCGCAUAAAAUUCCGCGACAUUCGGUUGCGGAUUCAAAGUCUUCGGACGUCUUUGGAGGGCCCGCGCCGAUUAGCUAGUUGGGGAGGUAACGGCUCACCAAGGCAAUGAUCGGUAGCUGGUCUGAGAGGAUGAU